UAUUUGCCUCUUCUAUAGCCAAUAAGUGCUACCAUUGAUUAGAAAUCCCACAAAGAUUGCAUCGUUAAAGUUGUGUCUUCUUGGUGACCCCGAUCAAAAUUUGAAAAUGAUGGUUAUAGCUGACUCGCAAUCGACUUGCUGAUACCAGGUAAACUCUUAAUAGUAGAAAUUAUUUCAAUCUUAAUAUCUAUACUUCAUUGGACUGAAUUCCACAGUUGGAAUUAAUACCACCAAUAAAAGUUUAGAUAUUGCCAUAAAAAAUAAAUUCCACAUUGUUUCAAUCAGUGAUAUAAGUAAUCUGAAUCAAGCUAAGCUUAUAGAUAAUUAACUAUUUUGAAAAUUUAAAGUCCUGAUUUAGUACCAUAUGAACACCUCAAAGCUCUCACCAGGUGCAAGUACUGUCAACCAACCGUAAUUGCUUCAGACUUAAACCAUUCCCAAUAAUUUUAACAUCUAUAGCUUCACUUAUGAUUCAGAUAGUAACAUUGUAAGAAUAGUCCUAAAAGAAUAGUCUCCUAUUGAGCAGAACUGCUGAUAUAUUUUGUCCUAAUGUAAGGAGUGUUUCCUUUGUCCAUCAUGAUAAUUUCCUGCCUUCACUAGGAACAUCUUGAUCUGAAUUAAAUUCAUAUGUACCUGCAAAAUUGAAAACCAAGUUAGCAAAAAAAAUCAGCAAAAGUAUUUCCCUCCCUUAAGGAGUGUUGUACUCUUAUUCUGUGAAUUGAGCCAACCUCAAUACUCACACUCCAAGGAAUUUUCCAGUUUCCAUUAAUGAUGUUAACCAUUGCCAAAGAAUCAGUCUCAAUAAUAAUGUUAGAAUAAUGAUUCUCUAAACAAUAUUGUAAACCUUCACUUAUAGCCUUAGCUUCAGCCACUAAAGUUGUGGAAUCAAUAAUUUUCAUCUCCUUAUCCCCAAAAACCUGCCUUCAUGAUUUCUUAAGCAAAAAGCAGAAGCACUGAGACCUGGGUUUCCUCUAGAGUCCCCAUCAGUGUUACAUUUCAGCCAACCUAUAGGAGGAGGAAUCCAUUUAACAAUUUUAGAAUGAACCACAGGUCUGAACCUUUCCAGAAGAGCUACCAUAUAAGGCCAAGUAUUAGGGAUAUGAUCAUAGUGAAAAUGAGACCUAAUAAACUUGUGGAUAGUAGCAUUGAUAUCCCAAAUCACCUUGUUUCUAAUAUAGACCCCUCCAUGUAAGAUAGUAUUCCUCCUCUUCCAUAGAAACCACAGAAUAAUGUUAGGAACUGCUUGAAAAACCAUUCUCAGCCUAGUAUUACCUUGUGCCACCCACCACUUUUUCAUGGUAUAUUUAAUUUGAACCCAAGGACCUAGUAUACCAGCAGCCCUUACAUAAUGAUCCCAAAUAGAAGUUGCCACUUCACCUGAAAGAAAAAAAUGUUCAAUAGUUUCUCUUACAGGAACCCUGCAACACUAACAUAAGGGAGAAAUGUUAGGAUUCCAUGAAGAAAUGAUAUCAGCAACGGGAGCAACGGGAACUCUGUAAGUCCAUACCCUCCAACCAAAGAAAGAAAAUUUUGAAAGGUAGCCCCUUCACCCAAAUUCUCUUAAUGUCUUCAUAAACUUCAUCCCUACUUCUAAGAAUCUCCCAUGCAGACUUUACAGUGAACUUGCCAGUACUAGAUUUUAUCCACCAAGGUUUAUCCAUUUGAUUGUCUUACCCUGCUCAUACUUUGUCUCACAUGAUCCACAAUAUGACUAGGUAAAUACUCUUGCAUACUAUUAUAAUCCCAUCCAGAAUCCUUCAAAAAAACCUCAAUAUCAUCCAAAGAAUGACAACCGUGCACUUCUGUCGGAUGUAGAAACAAAGGACCAUGACUAGUCCAAUUGUCAAACCAAAUGCUUGAUGUUCCUCCUUUAGGUUCCCACCACAAGUUUUGUUCUAUUAUUUCUCUAUUUUCCAACAUUUGUUUCCACACUUGUGAGCCACCUUUCCACUGAACAAGGGUGGGAAUUUGCUUCUUACAAUACUUAUUCCACAUGAAAUUUGCCCAUAGUGAAUUUUGAGUUCUAAAUUUCCACCAAAGUGUAGCAUACAUAGCUUUAGAUACAUCAAUCAUAGAUCUAAAACCCAAACCUCAUUCAUUUUUUGGUAAGCACACCUUUUCCCAUGCAGCCCAAUGUUUGCUUCUACCUGUAAGCUUGUUACUCCAAUAAAAUUUUGCAAAAAUUCUAUGAAGCUCUUUCAUCACUCAAUUAGGAGGGGCAAUAGCAGAAAGUACAUGAAUAGGAAUGCUUUGUAACACACUAGACAACAGAACUUCUUUACCCCCAAAAGAAAGCAUGUUUCCUUUCCAAGCCUGAAGUUUAUCUUUCACCCUUCUGAUGAGAUCUGCAUAAUGCUCUUUUCUUUUCCUAGCAUGAGUUAUGGGACAACCUAGGUAUUUUAAAGGGAAGUGACCCCUAGACAUACCUGUACAUUCCUCCACCACUACUCUCAUAUUUGUGGCAGUACUUUGAUGAAGAUAAAAUGCACUUUUCUCUUUAUUAAUUUGUUGUCCAGAUUCACCUUCAUAUUCCUGCAAAGUUUCAACUAUCCUAUUCAAAGAGUAAUUAUCAGUAGACGCAAAAAUGAUGGUAUCAUCUGCAUAAGCCAGGUGGUUAAUUUGUGCACUCCACUUUGGUAAACCAUACCCUACAUAUUGCACAUCAUCAAACAAAGCAUUCAAAGACCUGGAUAAAACCUCCGCUGAUAGAAUAAACAAUGCCGGAGAGAGAGGAUCUCCUUGUUUCACUCCUCUGGUUGAAUGAAAUAAGCCAUGUGAUUGUCCAUUAAUUAGUACAGAGUACCAAUUAUUGGAAAUCAAUCUCCAAAUUAUGUCAACCAAAUCAUUUGAGAAGCCCAUUUUUCUUAAUACUUUCAUUAGAAAAAACCAUGAUACUCUAUCAUAAGCUUUGGCCAUAUCAAGCUUAAUUACCACAUUAUCGGGCUUACCUUUUUUUCUAAUAUUUGUAACAAUCUCUUGAGUCAGCAGAACAUUUUCAAUGAUACUUCUCCCUUUCACAAAACCAGAUUGAUUAUUUGAAAUCAACCUUGGAAGUAAAGACUCAAGUCUAUCAUGAACAAUUCUAGAGAUGACCUUAUUAAUAAAAUUACUCAAACUGAUUGGCCUCAAAUCUGAGAAAGACUGUAUAUUAUCUUUCUUUGGUAACAGAAUUAGGUUGGUAUGAGUAAUGGACUUAGGUAAAGAAUUACCUUGAAGGAAAUCCUGUACCAAUGCUAGAAUAUCAAUGCCAACAAUGUCCCAGCAGCUUUGGUAAAAUCUCCCUGUCAAACCAUCAGGACCACUAGAACUAUCUCCAUUAAGUUUGAAUACAACAUUCUUUACCUCUUCUAAUUCUGGCAUUCUGCAUAAAACUGAGUUUUCCUCCGCAUUGAUCAAAGUGGGAAUAUGCCUUAGUAAAGGAAAAUCAGUCGCAUCCCUCUCUUGUGUGAAUUGCUUUUGAUUAGGUCCUUUGAAGACUUCUUCAACUCGGAUCGAUCAGACCUAUACCACAAACUGAAGUUAAGUGAGCAAAGCUUUCUCCUAUUUCAUCUUUGUGCACUGUUAUACUUCGAUUUAAUUCAUCCAUGAACUUCUCUACAGGUUGAGCCCCAAAGAGGCUGAUACCACUGCAUAAGGAGGCCACAUAUGGAUUCUAUCUCCGCAUAAACAGUAUAUUGUAAUUACAUCCACUUAUGCAAGUAUGCAGGUACUGUCAUCACCUUUUGAUAUUUCUUUGUCAUUCAUGUCGGGUUUUUCUUGUUUGUCUCAAUUAUGUUUGUGUAAUGAAAAACAUGUUUUGGAUGUUUCUAAUUUUAAGAUUGGAAAUUUGUGUUUUAUCUAGGUGUAAUAUUGCUUUUCCUUUUGGUGCUAAAUCUUGGAAAUCUGAAUAGAUGAUAUAUGUUGUGCCUGCAAAAAGAAAAAACCGGUUAGCUAAAUAAUCUGCAAAAGUAUUGUCUUCCCUAAGGGUGUGCUCCACUCUUGCAUCAACAUUAAUUCUCAGACCAUUGAUCUUUUUCACCUUCACCCGACUACUCCAAGGAACCUCCCAAAUUCCAUUCAAAAUCUUUUGGAGCAUUAAUGAGCCAGUCUCCAAUAUUACUGGUAAGUAUUGAUGCAUUAUACAGUACUUCAGUCCUCUUCGCAAAGCCAUUGCCUCAGGCAUUAAAACUAAAGUUAUUCCCAAACAAAAAGACUCAGCAUGUAUCAAAUUUCCUUCAUCAUUUCAAAUACAAAAGGCCCCAACACUAGGGCCACCAACUCCUUUUACUGAACCAUUCGAAUUACACUUGUAGGACCCUAAUCUAGGUAGUCUCCAGUAAACCAUCUUAAGAUCAAUAAGGGGGUGCAUAUUCAGUAAAAAAAGGAACCAUCAGAUGCCAAGUAUUAGGAAUGUUUUGCAACCAAGGAUAGCUAAGAGUAGCUAGAUGAUAUAAUUUUUGUUGACCUCUAUAACCAUACCAUAAAAUGACAUAUUACCUCCAUGAGAAAUUAUAUUUCUCCUUUUCCAUAAUUGCCAAGUGAUAAAUAACGAGACAACCUUGAAGAGAGGUCUAAGCUUUGACGAGCAGUCCUUAUUCCACCAUUUAUGUAUAGUAUCAUUAAGGUGCAAAAAAAAAAGUCCUUUCACAUCAGUAAUACAAGCAAACGUAUUCCACAACUUCUUAGCCAUAGAGCAAGUCAUGAAAAGAUGUUCAAAAGUUUCAUCUUCUGAACUAUUACAGCAGCAACACUUAACUUCAUCCACCACUUUAAUCUUGAUAAGAACCUCCCCUAUGAGUAUUCUUUUUUUCCACAAUCUCUAAAGAAAGAAAGAAAAUUUGAAGGGAACUCCUUUUCACCCAAAUCUUCUUAGCAAUUUCUUGUUCAUCAUUUCCUUGUCUCAAAACCUUCCAAGCACUUCCAACCGUAAAUUUGAAGGGAACUCCUUCCACCAUUUAUGUAUAGUAUCAUUAAGGUGCAAAAAAAAAAGUCCUUUCACAUCAGUAAUACAAGCAAACGUAUUCCACAACUUCUUAGCCAUAGAGCAAGUCACAAAAAGAUGUUCAAAAGUUUCAUCUUCUGAACUAUUACAGCAGCAACACUUAACUUCAUCCACCACUUUAAUCUUGAUAAGAACCUCCCCUAUGAGUAUUCUUUUUUUCCACAAUCUCUAAAGAAAGAAAGAAAAUUUGAAGGGAACUCCUUUCACCCAAAUCUUCUUAGCAAUUUCUUGUUCAUCAUUUCACUAAAUUGUCUUAGAUAUAUUUAUACUUUUAAAGAAUUAUUCAUUUAUAAUAUUAGAUUCAUUGUAUUAGGUUUAAGAAGGUCAACAUAUUUGCAUCCUUGAGCAGAUUCACAAACCAAAUCAUUAAGCAAACUUUUAGAUUCGUCAGGCUUAUCCUUCAUUCCAAUGUCUUGGUUGCUAAUGGGAAUUGAAUUGGAAUUUGGUGGAGGGGGGAAUUGAGUACUAGAAUUGAGAGAGAUUUGCUGGCCAGCCGCCGAAGCAGGCUGACCAGUGGCCAAUAUGGCCAUGAUCAAUCAGAAAUUUCUUGUAGCAGCAAGGGUUUUGCAGUCAAAAACCCUGUUGUAAAAUUGAAGUUAAAAUGAGGGAUAUAAAAUUAUUAAACAAACAUUCAUUUACAAAUAAUAUGUAUCAAAUUUUUUAAAAAUUCGAUGCAAAUUUUAAUUUAUAAUAUAGCAUGAAAUAAACACGUUGAGAGAGACUAGUAUUAUAUCUUAAAAGAAUGAACUCCCUAAAAUGAAAGUUAAAUAAUGCAAACCUGUGAAAAACAAUAACAUCAACAACUCUAAUCAUUUGCGUAAAUACCUUAUACCCCUAACCUAAUAGAAACCCCUAACUAAAAACUUCAUCACGCUACACUCCUUGCCGCGCUAACGCCCAUUUCUGGACAGGCGCUAACGCCCAUUUAAUCUCCAACAUCUCUCUUUUCUCCCACAAAACACUAUAUGCUUUGGCGAAAUUGCUUGCCAUUGUUUACGGAUUUGCUUUUGACACCUCUCUUACAGAUACAUUUAGCACUGCAAAAAGAAAUAGAUUAUUGUUAGGAUAUACUACAAUCUUAGCUGAUAUGUUAAGUCUUACAAUAUCUCGGGCAAUAAUUUUUUACAAGUGAAUCAUUUUAUUUGUUUUAGAAUGAUAAGUUUCGAAAGCAAAUGAAUGCUUACAAAUAACAAGUUCAAACAAAAUAAUAGAUAUAUCCAUCUUCACCACCAUAUACAAGGACAGAAACUUGUCAAGAAGUAUUUGAGAACAUUGAGUCUGUAACCCAAUAAAGAGAACUCCAUACAAAUAUAGGAUACAACACAAGUGUAACAACUAAGCACUCUCUUGGUGAUGAAAUAUAAUUUGAGGACUACGGGAUAAACCAACAAAAUAUCACCAACCACCCUAUUUAGCAUGCCAGAUAUGAAUCUCUGGAACUAAGCCCCGUGAACCCUUAGUAACAGUAUUAUCUCUGCAACAGGGAGCAACUAUAGUCGUAUAUAUUGAUAUCCAUGAACCAGACAAGAGACAGAGAGUUCUGCAACUAACACUAACAGCAGAGCAUCUGAAAUAGUGUUAGAAGCUGCUUGCUUCAAUGUGAACAUAUGUUGGCUAGUCCAACUGUAAAUAAUUAUAAGGUGUAAACUGUUUGUUUAUUCAAGUAAAGAAGCCCCC
Molecule: long non-coding RNA, 6658 nt
Filed under: Solanum tuberosum (potato)
Lineage: Eukaryota; Viridiplantae; Streptophyta; Magnoliopsida; Solanales; Solanaceae
Description: long non-coding RNA (STUB_LNC004471)
Source: RNAcentral